UUUUAUACGCCCGUAUAAAAUACGGGACGUAUUAUGUGAAACCCCUUGGCGGCGGGCGGCGGGCGGCGGGCGGAAGGCAUCACUUUGUCCGGACUCUAAUUCAAAUUGUAUUCAUCCGAUCUUCACCAAACUUGGUCAGCAGUUGCAUCUAGUUGAUAUCUAGGCCAAGUUCGAAUAUGGGUCAUGCCGGGUCAAAAACUAGGUCAUAGGGUCAAUAAGUGCAUUUUCAAAGGGGCCACUUUGUCCGGACUCUAUUUCAAAUUGUAUUCAUCCGAUCUUCACCAAACUUGGUCAGCAGUUGCAUCUAGUUGAUAUAUAGGCCAAGUUCGAAUAUGGGUCAUGCCGGGUCAAAAACUAGGUCAUAGGGUCAAUUAGUGCAUUUUCAACGGCGCCACUUUGUCCGGACUCUAAUUCAAAUUGUAUUCAUCCGAUCUUCACCAAACUUGGUCAGAAGUUGUAUCUAGACAAUAUCUAGGUCAAGUUCGAAUAUGGGUCAUGCCGGGUCAAAAACUAGGUCACAGGGUCACUUAAACCAUUUCAAGCAUUUAGCAUGGUGUCCGCUCUCUAAUUGAAGUAGUUAUCAUCCGAUCUUCACCAAAUUUGGUCAGAAGUUGUGUCUAGACAAUAUCUACAUGUAGGUCAAG
Dreissena polymorpha is the source of this 644-nucleotide long non-coding RNA. RefSeq lists it as uncharacterized. NCBI's taxonomy places the organism in Eukaryota, Metazoa, Mollusca, Bivalvia, Myida, Dreissenidae. The transcript is spliced from 2 exons. The record is from RefSeq and is a predicted model, not a curated record.